RNAcentral lists this ribosomal RNA (253 nucleotides) under uncultured bacterium. RNAcentral's name for it is "partial 16S ribosomal RNA". It matches the Rfam family "Bacterial small subunit ribosomal RNA", at positions 524 to 776 of the family's 1533-position model. The record is from RNAcentral.
GACGUAGGAUGCAAGCGUUGUCCGGAAUUACUGGGCGUAAAGCGUGCGCAGGCGGUUGGUUAAGUCUGAUGUGAAAGCCCCGGGCUCAACUUGGGAAUGGCAUUGGAAACUGGCUGGCUAGAGUGUGGCAGAGGGGGGUGGAAUUCCGCGUGUAGCAGUGAAAUGCGUAGAGAUGCGGAGGAACACCGAUGGCGAAGGCAGCCCCCUGGGCUGACACUGACGCUCAGGCACGAAAGCGUGGGGAGCAAACAGG